UUCGGGCGCCGGCGAGUGGCGAACGGGUGAGUAACACGCGGAGACCUAUCCUUUGGUGGGGGACAACAGCUGGAAACGGCUGCUAAUACCGCAUACGCCCUACGGGGGAAAGAUUUAUUGCCGAAGGAGGGUUCCGCGUCGGAUUAGCUAGUUGGUGGGGUAACGGCCUACCAAGGCGACGAUCCGUAGCUGGUCUUAGAGGAUGAUCAGCCACACUGGGACUGAGACACGGCCCAGACUCCUACGGGAGGCAGCAGUGGGGAAUAUUGCGCAAUGGGGGAAACCCUGACGCAGCGAUGCCGCGUGGGUGAAAAAGGCCUUAGGGUUGUAAAGCCCUUUCAGUGGGAACGAUAGUGACGGUACCCACAGAAGAAGCCCCGGCUAACUCCGUGCCAGCAGCCGCGGUAAUACGGAGGGGGCGAGCGUUGUUCGGAAUUAUUGGGCGUAAAGCGCGCGUAGGCGGUUUAUCAAG
RNAcentral lists this ribosomal RNA (472 nucleotides) under uncultured Magnetococcus sp. RNAcentral's name for it is "bacterial SSU rRNA". It matches the Rfam family "Bacterial small subunit ribosomal RNA", at positions 79 to 587 of the family's 1533-position model. Lineage: Bacteria; Pseudomonadati; Pseudomonadota; Magnetococcia; Magnetococcales; Magnetococcaceae. The record is from RNAcentral.